Non-coding RNA from Plutella xylostella (diamondback moth), 1065 nucleotides. The record is from RefSeq and is a predicted model, not a curated record. NCBI's taxonomy places the organism in Eukaryota, Metazoa, Arthropoda, Insecta, Lepidoptera, Plutellidae.
AUCCACAUUUAUGACAGAUACAGAGAUAGCUAACUUUGUUUACAAACUUUAUAUUUUCCAUAAGUAUUUAUAGAGUAUAUCAAUAAAUCUGUGUCUUUAUAAUAAAAUCGAAACACAAUAUUUUAAAAUACCCAACAUCAGCCGCUCAAAGCGUUAUAUUAAAGUGUACGCAAAUAAAAGUGGAAAAUUAAACACGAACUGAAGUUUAAAAAAAUACCAUUACGUAUGAUUACGAAUUAAAACAUUCAGUGAUUGAUACAAAUCCAGUGGGAGUAACGAGGAAACAAUUUAUUCCAUAUUCGAGGAACUCGUAAAUCAGAGUAUUUACCUGAUGUGGCAUGAUAAUUAUAAUAAAAUAAGGGGUACUUAUUCAUUCCUUACCUUUUAAAUUCCAAUCAUUCCUGAACAAAGCAACAAUGUCGGGAUACGGGCCGGACGUCAAGGUCCGCAUGGUAGAAGACUUCUGUGGCGUCGGAAUGUGCUGUCUCAUGGUGAUGGUUCGCUUCUGCAUGACUGUGGCGGCCAUGAGCGAACACAUCCUACGAAUGUUCCUCCAAAUGGUCUACAACCUCUUCGCCACUUGCUUGCAGAUCUUAGCUAUUCUCCCCCUAUGCUGCGUAUUCGCUCUGACAUCUGGACUACGAGGGUUCAUCUGUUCUUUAUCUGGCACAACCGGUAUUUGGAGUUCUAUUGGCUUCUUCUUUAUGAUAUAUCUGGUUUAUAAACUACUAGUGGCUAUGGAUGAAGACAACAUCAAGGGGGUUAUUAAGUCGAUGCGGGAUUUGUGCUAUACAAAGGACUUUGAGAGCGAUACGACACUAGAUUCCGUUCCGGGCACAGAAUAAUAAUUAGUAGUCCGUGCAGUGAAGUUAGUUAUUUAUAGUUGGAGUGAGAAUUGUGAUCAACGUCGGCGCGUGACGUGUUAACUUAUUCAAAACUAGUUUUGCGUCAUUGCAAUUCAUUGCAUAGUAUGUUGGUUUUCAUUAUUUACGUAAGAUUGUUUUAUAAGUAUUUUAGUAGGUAAUUAACUGUUUCUAAGAUUUCCUAUUUAUAAACUUUUAACCA